This 1463-nucleotide long non-coding RNA is filed under the name Equus asinus (donkey). RNAcentral describes it as "lncRNA (ENSEASG00005031092.1)". The record is from RNAcentral. Lineage: Eukaryota; Metazoa; Chordata; Mammalia; Perissodactyla; Equidae.
GGAAAAUUGAGGUGCUUUCCUAACCCUCCUCAACUCCCCAAGGGUUUCUUGCGAGAUCCUGAUCACCUGAGGGAUCUCAAGCCUGUCUCCUCCUUCUGACCCAAAAUGAGUAAACUGAGACAAAAGGAGAUCAAGUAGAAUGGAAGCCUUCGUGUUGAAUGCACUGGAGGGGCCUUGGUGACUUGCUUGACAGAGUAUGGUGAAAAUGAUGCUGUGUGACUUCCACGCUUCAGUCACAAAGAUGCCACACCCUUCUGCCUUGUUCUUUUGUCACACUGCCUCUUGGAAUGUGGCCACAUGCUGCAAGGAAGCCCAAGCAAACUGUAGAGAUGCCACAUGGACAGAAACCAAGGCCCAUAGCCCCUAGUCCUGACUGAGCUCCCAGCUGGCACCAGCACCAACAUGCCAGCCAUGUGAAUGAACUACCUCCAGUCCCAGUCAAGCCACUCUACCUCACACCAUGCGGAGUAGAGAUGAGCCAUCUCUGUUGAGCACUUCCCAAUCACAGACACCUGUGCCCAGCUGAGACUGCCACCUCCCUACCCAAGGACAGAUAUUCUUCUGGUAAUGACAACCAAGUAAAGUGCAAGUGUUUGGAGCUAAUGGCUGCCUUGUUGCCCAGUAGAAGGUUGUAACUGUACGUUUAGGAGGAGAUUUAAAAAUCUAUCUGACCCCAUUCAUUGCCAGUGAAUUCCACUGGACUUCUUAAUUCAAGAGACAGUCCCUGGGUAAAGGAACUCUCAGCCAUAAAGGGAUUACUAAGAAACUGAAGCAGAGUGCUCUGUGAUGGGGUCCUCAUGGAGCCUGAGCAGUCAGGAAGAAGUAUGCUGUGGCAAAAAAAAAGAAGUAAAUUGUGGAUUCUGAUGCCAGCAGUGUUGGUGAAGAAGAAAAAGAAGAGGAAGGAGAAAGAGAAGAAAGAAGAGAAGGAGGGGGAGUAGGAGUAAGAGGAGAAGGAUAAGAAGAAGGAGGGGGAGGAGAAUUGGCAAGCGUUAGAGUCUACAGACAUCUUAGAGGUUAUCUAAUCUGACUAGAGGAUGCGCUGCAAUCUCCUACAUGGUCGACAGUGUUGAUUUAUUUAUUUUUUAAACAUUGUCACAUGACUUUUUAAUACAAAGGCUGUCCAGUUACUGAUGUGCACAGUGGUAAGCAGGGCCUCCUCUGCACAGUUUAACCUAUUUUGUGCUUAAACCCAAGUGUAGUGCUCACGUGGAUGACCCUGUAAAUUCACGGUUUCUGAUAUCAAUUGUCACCUCAAUGUUCCAGCAGUCCUUCUCUUUCUCAGUCCCCUUUCUUUCCCAUUAUUCAUCAGUUUCUUUUUAAACUUUCAACAAUCUCCUUUGAUCCCAACAUCUCCCUUCUUAUUCUUAGCAGAUUCAUUUAUUGAUUUUUCUCAAAAGGUAUUGGUUGAGUACCCACUCCGUGCCAGCCUUCUUCUAGGCGUCGGGGAAGAACAGUGAACAAAC